Molecule: ribosomal RNA, 672 nt
Filed under: Streptomyces zaomyceticus
Lineage: Bacteria; Bacillati; Actinomycetota; Actinomycetes; Kitasatosporales; Streptomycetaceae
Description: bacterial SSU rRNA
Rfam family: Bacterial small subunit ribosomal RNA
Source: RNAcentral
UGGAUUAGUGGCGAACGGGUGAGUAACACGUGGGCAAUCUGCCCUUCACUCUGGGACAAGCCCUGGAAACGGGGUCUAAUACCGGAUAACACCGGCUUCCGCAUGGGAGCUGGUUGAAAGCUCCGGCGGUGAAGGAUGAGCCCGCGGCCUAUCAGCUUGUUGGUGGGGUAAUGGCCUACCAAGGCGACGACGGGUAGCCGGCCUGAGAGGGCGACCGGCCACACUGGGACUGAGACACGGCCCAGACUCCUACGGGAGGCAGCAGUGGGGAAUAUUGCACAAUGGGCGAAAGCCUGAUGCAGCGACGCCGCGUGAGGGAUGACGGCCUUCGGGUUGUAAACCUCUUUCAGCAGGGAAGAAGCGAAAGUGACGGUACCUGCAGAAGAAGCGCCGGCUAACUACGUGCCAGCAGCCGCGGUAAUACGUAGGGCGCAAGCGUUGUCCGGAAUUAUUGGGCGUAAAGAGCUCGUAGGCGGCUUGUCACGUCGGGUGUGAAAGCCCGGGGCUUAACCCCGGGUCUGCAUCCGAUACGGGCAGGCUAGAGUGUGGUAGGGGAGAUCGGAAUUCCUGGUGUAGCGGUGAAAUGCGCAGAUAUCAGGAGGAACACCGGUGGCGAAGGCGGAUCUCUGGGCCAUUACUGACGCUGAGGAGCGAAAGCGUGGGGAGCGAACA